CCCCACAUUGACUGACUGUUCCAGAGAGGGUACCUCCUACUCACCAAACGGCACAGGAGAUAGUUACAAACUCUCACAUUCUUCUGAGUCGGUAACCUGGCAGCUAGCUACAAUCAGAGCCUGCUCUCCAGCAUGUUCAUUCCCAGCAAUUAACCUGGAGGUGUCAAAGAUUCAAAUCCCACACAAACUGCUUGUGAAUUCAUAAAAUCUAGCAUUUUGGCAUAUUUUGUUUUGAAAGCUUUCAGGGUCCUUUCCCCUGUCGUGACUCCAGAAUCUGUGCCUUCGGGGCACUCUCUACCUGAUGAGAAAUAAAAGCGGCCCUCACUGCCUCAAAUAGGAACACAUUUCAAAACAUAUCGGAAUUAGAGGGCUAUAGGAAGCAAGGCGGAACUCAAGGAGUUAACGGAAAAGAUGUAAAUUUCGAACUGGAGGAGACUACGGACCAGUGGGGGCUGAGCGAGCAGCCUACACGCGAGUCAUGGCUGACUCAUCCACAUCACGAUGAAAGAAGAGGAUAAUUAACAAAUAAUCAUCCCAGCAGCGAGUGUUCAUGUUUGAGACACAGAGAUCUUUGUGGGUUGAGGGUAUCAAAGGGCAUGGAUUACAGGUAUGUGCCGUUCAAUCUGAUUGGAACCAAGAAUGGAGCUCAGCAGGAAAGGUGCUUUCAUCGACUGCGGCGCCAGUUCACGGAAAACAUGAGCAGAGAGCUACGUGAAUUUUAUGUUGUGCACUCAGUCUGAAUCUGCAGUGGCUCAUUUCAAACUGAAAUGUGGUGAAAUCACAUCUGAAGUUGUGUGUAAUUUUGGUCUCCCUGUUUCAAUAAAGUAUAUAGAGAUCUGUAACUCAGAAAUAGAUAUGACAACACUAUAUGGUACAUACAUCAGAGGAACAAGCCAGUCAGUCCAGUUACUCUACACAUACCUUUUUUUCCAUUUCUUCCACCUCACCCCUUAAGGGAAUCUUUCUAUUCCUUUUUCUCUUACAUACUCCUCUCGUUUCCUUUUGAAAGUAUCUAAGCUAUUUGUCUCAAGCACUUACAGUGAUGACUAAUUCUAUAUUCUACCCACCUUGUGUGUGAAGACAUUUCUGUUUAUAUCACUACUAGAUUUCCUAGUAACUAUCUUACACAUAUGGCCUCUAGUUUUGAAUUAUCCCACAAGUGGAAGCAUUCUAUCUACAUCUACUGUGCCAACCCUUCUUCCUAAGAGUUCCAUCUUAAUCAUUCAUUUCAUCACACUUCCAGCCUAACCCAUAACCAUGACAUCUUCUGUCUCUUCUUAGUUACUUUCUUCAACACAAUCUUCACUGACCCCUAAUGUGCUGAUUUCUGAUUUUCCUUCCUAUUAUUCCACAUCUCAGCAUCAAUAUCCAGUCACAGUUUCUCUUCUUCAUCUUGCCCAAGUUUAUGCAUCUAAUAACAUGGCUGGUCUCAUAGUUGCC
Long non-coding RNA from Chiloscyllium plagiosum (whitespotted bambooshark), 1440 nucleotides. RefSeq lists it as uncharacterized. NCBI's taxonomy places the organism in Eukaryota, Metazoa, Chordata, Chondrichthyes, Orectolobiformes, Hemiscylliidae. The record is from RefSeq and is a predicted model, not a curated record.